CCUACGGGCGGCUGCAGUGGGGAAUAUUGGACAAUGGGGGGAACCCUGAUCCAGCCAUGCCGCGUGUGUGAAGAAGGCCCUCGGGUUGUAAAGCACUUUCAGUGAGGAAGAACGCCUGGUGGUUAAUACCCAUCAGGAAAGACAUCACUCACAGAAGAAGCACCGGCUAACUCCGUGCCAGCAGCCGCGGUAAUACGGAGGGUGCGAGCGUUAAUCGGAAUUACUGGGCGUAAAGCGCGCGUAGGUGGCUUGAUAAGCCGGUUGUGAAAGCCCCGGGCUCAACCUGGGAACGGCAUCCGGAACUGUCAAGCUAGAGUGCAGGAGAGGAAGGUAGAAUUCCCGGUGUAGCGGUGAAAUGCGUAGAGAUCGGGAGGAAUACCAGUGGCGAAGGCGGCCUUCUGGACUGACACUGACACUGAGGUGCGAGAGCGUGGGUAGCAAACAGGAUUAGAUACCCCUGUAGUC
This 465-nucleotide ribosomal RNA is filed under the name Vreelandella stevensii. RNAcentral describes it as "partial 16S ribosomal RNA". It matches the Rfam family "Bacterial small subunit ribosomal RNA", at positions 338 to 795 of the family's 1533-position model. Lineage: Bacteria; Pseudomonadati; Pseudomonadota; Gammaproteobacteria; Oceanospirillales; Halomonadaceae. The record is from RNAcentral.